AAGAUUCUCAUCACUUACUUAAACUCUAAGACCGAUAGUGAAUUUGGGCCGGUGAAUUGGAUAUAUUCUGGGUUUACGAAAUCUUGUGGGCACUUCAGAGCAUGGAAUACUGAUAUCGUUGAUCAAGUGAACAUUUUCUCUCAUCUUUUGAAAGGGGAGAAAGCUGGGAGGGGUGGUUGUGUGCGGAUAUACCCCAAAAGUGGAGAUAUUUGGGCUGUUUAUCGAAACUGGUCACCUGAUUGGAGCAGAUCAACCCCAGAUCAUUUAAGGCAUCAAUAUGAGAUGGUUGAGGUUCUUGAUGAUUACUCUGACGAGCUUGGAGUAUGUGUCACUCCGCUCAUCAAAUUGGCAGGUUUCAAGACAGUUUACCAGAGGAACACUAACAAGGAUGCCAUUAGAUGGAUUCCAAGGAAAGAGAUGUUACGCUUUUCUCACCAGGUACCAUCUUGGUCACUUGAAGGAGAAGCGAGGAAUUUGCCAGAUAAGUGUUGGGAUCUAGAUCCAGCUGCAACUCCAGAUGAACUACUUCAUGCUGCAACAGAAGCCAAGGAUUAGCCAAACACGGUCAAGCAGGAAAGCAUGGUUUAUUUGAAGUUGCAUUUAUCAUUUUUAUAGAAAAUUUUUAGGUUGACUGUACAAUAUUUCACACUUGGUUCAAGGCCAAUGCAACAAUAACUCUAUAUGAUUUCUAGAUAAUUGAUGUUUACUGAGGAAGGUUGUGACUGGAAUUCUGAGUCCAUUGACUGCUCAUUGACAGAAAUAUACUUCUGUUCAAUGAGGCUGUUGUAACAUUUAUUGAGUUGUUACAGCUGAUAUCGAACUCAACAGAAAUGUAAUCUUUGUAUGUUGGGCCACAAUUCAAUGCCAAAGAAUUGCAAGGCUCAGUGCAAUUCAACUACUAGCCCCCUGAAUUUAUGAUUGUUGCUUAUUCUUGGAAUGCAAGUGUACUUUUAGU
Molecule: unclassified non-coding RNA, 955 nt
Filed under: Hevea brasiliensis (rubber tree)
Lineage: Eukaryota; Viridiplantae; Streptophyta; Magnoliopsida; Malpighiales; Euphorbiaceae
Source: RNAcentral